AAAAUUCUCACAAGAUUAAAUUCAAUAAAAAAUUUGGCAAAAAGCCCCUUACAAUUGAAAGAAAACAAAUACUUAUAGGUACAUAGAUGACCAUUCAAAUUCGGCAUCUAGGUGUUCACACAAUAAUAAAAAUGUUCACACUAAUGUAUUAAAAUAGUUCAUAAAUUUGGCAGAUUCAUGAACUGGUUGAAUGGACACUUUCUUCCCCCUAAGUGUGUGCAUGAAUGCUUAAUCAUAAAGAAAGGCUUCAAGUGACUUGUAUGUGCACCAAAGGUUGCAUUCAUCUCCUUGGGACGUUCAUGCACUUGUAUGGAACAUGUAUCCUCAUAAUUAAACUCUUUAAUAGCAUGUAGGUUCAUAAACGGCAGCAUGAACCUAGUAAAUUCGUUCUCCCCUUUGUGCAUACAAUUAAUUCAAUCAAUGUGUUGAAUUAUUGAGUUAAUUCCUUCCUUUGGACGUUCUUGAACCCAUCCAUGCAUGUGUAGUAGCUUAUAGGUCAAUUCAAAGUGUGAACAGCUACUUCUUGGCCGAAUAAGUGCCUUGGAAAGUUAGGAGACAGCCACCAUACAUGCACUUAAGCCAUUCAUGCAUUCUAUCAUCCCAUGCAUUUGAUCUAUUCAUGGACUAGCCUUUAAUGUCCAUACAUGCAUUCGACACAUGCAUGAAUUUGUAGAAACCUUGCAUUUAGCCGUACAUGCACCAGCAUUUAAUACUUCUUCAUUCAUGAGUGUGGAAUGCCCAAAAGAGAUGUUUCUUCAUCCAUACAUUGUACCAUCCAAAGGGAUGUACCUACAUGAAAUAAACAAGUCAUUAAGAUAUCUCAUGAACACUCAUAAAUUCGGCAUGAUGUGAACACAUUAAUGUCAUGCAUUAAUUCAGCUAUGUGAACAUAAUCAAUUUAUGUAAUGACUAUGACAUAUUAAUAACAAAUAUUAAUAUAAGACAAGUUUAAUACUUAAAUAAAUAUGUGCAAAUUUUUAUUUAAUGCAUUAAAGACAAAACCGAGUUUAAACAAAAAUGAGCUAAGCUUUAGCUUGUGAGCUAAAGUUGAGCUGAGAUUAAACUCCUAAGCUGAAGUUGAGCUAAGGUUUAGCUCGUGAGUUGAAAGUGAGCUAGGAGUGAGCUCGAUUUAGCUCAGACAAGAUGGAUUGAGCUCGAAUAAGCUGGAUUUGAGCUGGACGGAGCUCGUGGAGCUGGAAACGGGCUGGGAUCAGCUUGCCAACAUGUCAUUGCUCGGCUUGACAGACUUGCUCGAUAAAGUUCAUGGGGCGUGCUCGUAUCAUUCUAGAUGCUGGUUAUUCAGCUAAACAUUGAUGGAAUUAAAUGAUGUGACCCAGCCCGGGUUAAUUGAGUCGUUUCACGUAAUUUCCCGAUCGUCGACGAGGAAUAGUUGAGUUAUCGAAAAUAGGAUGAAAUAAGGCUAAAGAUGCGGAAGCUUUCAAAUGGUUUUAAAGGUUGGCUAAGGUGAUGGUAAAUUUAUAAGGGUAGUAGGCUUGAUUUAAGGAUAAAAAUAAGAAAAAUGGAAGUUGAUAAAUGAAGGCUCGGUUUUGUAAAAAGAUAUUAUAGUUGGGUAAAAUCUAGGGUAUUCGGUGGAAUGGAUAAAUGAGCUUAAACACCAGAAACGAUUCAACACUAAAAAGUGUCACCCCGAUUUCUAUUCGGUUGAAGGUGGGAUUACGGAAUUGUGGAAAGGUUGAACGCCACACCAAAGCAAGGUGAUAAGUUCAAAAGAGAACGAUAGACGCCACUAGCACGCUAGAUAAGUCAGAUCGAAACUCGUACGAAUUUUGAGAGGAGAAAACUCACUCUUUGAACAAAGUUCAUUCAAAUGAUCAAAAGUCAAAAGUCCUUUACAAAUGAAAUUAAUCAACUAUUUAUAGCCAAAGCUUAGGCUAGCUGAAUAGUCAAUAUCUAACUUAAAAACUAAGUAAAUAAAUAAAUAAAAAAAUAAAAAUCUGUAAACUACCAUAGAAAGGUUCGGCUGAAUGAAAUUAAGGCUGGAAAUUAAAGCUCCUAGUUGUUGCCACAUGCAUGCACAUCUUGCUUCAAAAUACAUGCAUAGCCGAAUUCAUGAUCUUCAUUAAAUGUGUUCAUUGGAUCAACAAAUGCAUGUCCAGCAGCCUCCUUAAUUCAAUCUUCAAAAUACAUGCAUGAUUGAAUGCAUGUUCUACUUGGGAAAAUGGAAUGGGCGGCCAGAUUUAAUGUGAACAGUCAAGUUCUUUGUCUCCAUGAAAAGGUGCUUGGAGAAUAGCAAUCAGCAGCCUAAAUUCAUCUUGAAUACAACUCCACAUUCAUGUAUCCUUUGCUGU
RNAcentral lists this long non-coding RNA (2309 nucleotides) under Gossypium barbadense (sea-island cotton). RNAcentral's name for it is "long non-coding RNA (GBAR_LNC003123)". The record is from RNAcentral. Lineage: Eukaryota; Viridiplantae; Streptophyta; Magnoliopsida; Malvales; Malvaceae.